RNAcentral lists this ribosomal RNA (433 nucleotides) under uncultured bacterium. RNAcentral's name for it is "partial 16S ribosomal RNA". It matches the Rfam family "Bacterial small subunit ribosomal RNA", at positions 29 to 507 of the family's 1533-position model. The record is from RNAcentral.
AACGGACGCUGGCGGCAUGCCUAACACAUGCAAGUCGAACGAGACCUUCGGGUCUAGUGGCGCACGGGUGCGUAACGCGUGGGAGCCUGCCCUUAGGUUCGGAAUAACUCCCCGAAAGGGGUGCUAAUACCGGAUAAUGUCUUCGGACCAAAGAUUUAUCGCCUUUGGAUGGGCCCGCGUUGGAUUAGCUAGUUGGUAGGGUAAAAGCCUACCAAGGCGACGAUCCAUAGCUGGUCUGAGAGGAUGAUCAGCCACACUGGGACUGAGACACGGCCCAGACUCCUACGGGAGGCAGCAGUGGGGAAUACUGGACAAUGGGCGAAAGCCUGAUCCAGCAAUGCCGCGUGAGUGAUGAAGGCCUUAGGGUUGUAAAGCUCUUUUACCCGGGAUGAUAAUGACAGUACCGGGAGAAUAAGCUCCGGCUAACUCCGUG